Molecule: ribosomal RNA, 253 nt
Filed under: uncultured bacterium
Lineage: Bacteria
Description: partial 16S ribosomal RNA
Rfam family: Bacterial small subunit ribosomal RNA
Source: RNAcentral
UACGGAGGGUGCGAGCGUUGUCCGGAAUCACUGGGCGUAAAGGGCGCGUAGGCGGCAGGCCAAGCGUGCGGUGAAAGUCCGGGGCUCAACCCCGGAUCGGCCGUGCGGACUGGUUUGCUAGAGCACUGUAGAGGCGAGUGGAAUUCCUGGUGUAGCGGUGAAAUGCGCAGAUAUCAGGAGGAACACCGAUGGCGAAGGCAGGUCUCUGGGCAUUAACUGACGCUGAGGAGCGAAAGCAUGGGGAGCGAACAGG